UACAGAGGUCUCAAGCGUUGUUCGGAAUCACUGGGCGUAAAGCGUGCGUAGGCUGUUUCGUAAGUCGUGUGUGAAAGGCGCGGGCUCAACCCGCGGACGGCACAUGAUACUGCGAGACUAGAGUAAUGGAGGGGGAACCGGAAUUCUCGGUGUAGCAGUGAAAUGCGUAGAUAUCGAGAGGAACACUCGUGGCGAAGGCGGGUUCCUGGACAUUAACUGACGCUGAGGCACGAAGGCCAGGGGAGCGAAAGGGAUUAGAUACCCCUGUAGUGACUGACU
RNAcentral lists this ribosomal RNA (279 nucleotides) under Akkermansia muciniphila ATCC BAA-835. RNAcentral describes it as "partial 16S ribosomal RNA". It matches the Rfam family "Bacterial small subunit ribosomal RNA", at positions 524 to 801 of the family's 1533-position model. The record is from RNAcentral. Lineage: Bacteria; Pseudomonadati; Verrucomicrobiota; Verrucomicrobiia; Verrucomicrobiales; Akkermansiaceae.